GUCAAGGUUGUAGAGAAACAUCAGGAAUAAUUCUUGGCUUCAAGAAUCUCAGUUUUUAAUUGCAACAAGACUAGUGAGUAAAAUUAAAGUUAAGUGAUCAGUUUGUACAGAAUAUAAAGAACUACCAAAUUUUCUUGGAGAUCAAGGACAGAGAAGUUCAUCUGAUCAGUUUGAGCAAUGUUUACUGUGAGUACAAGAUUGAUGGGGCAUCCCUGAUGGAGUGAAAGAUACCAAACACCAGGCCUGGAUGGCCAGGGAAUAGGCUGCCCACAAGAGGAGGAAGGCACAGGAGGAAGGCCUCUGGUCUGUGUGGGAACAGGAAGAAGAGCAAUCAGGUUGGAAAGGAAGUUUCAGAGAUGAAGAUUUGGAGAGGACCUGGGAGAUCUGGAAUUAAUCUCAGAUCAUCCAUUUGAAAUGCUAUCUGGAGCAAGCUUCUCUUUUUGAGGGCUCAGAUUCCUUUGUGAAAAAUGGCACCUGUUACUUAGAGGCUUCUGAUGGAUUGAGCGUCUUAUAGGAGCCGAUUAAGGCAAGUGGUGAAGGACUCAAAGGUAAGAGGGUGAGCUUGGUGGCCUAAUGGGAGUGACCAGAGACCUCUCAUCCUUUUCACCCUGUGAGGAGACAGCAAGAAGGCACUGUCCACAAGCCAGAAGGGGAGAUUGUGCACCAGAGGCUUAAUUUCUUCUAUUAGCCUGGCUGCUGGCAAUAACUUCCUGAAGGACACCUUCCGGACAAACUUCCUCUAAUGUUUAUGUUGCCUCCACCAGCCAGUCUUCUAAGUAAGCCAGAUUCUCCUCUGUGUUGUGCCUCUGCCAUGCCAUCUUAACUUGGAGCCAGAUGACUAUGGACUGAAACUUCUACAAACUGUUACAAAAAGCUCAAAGGUGAAAACUGUGAGCCACGUCAUUCGCAGAAGCCCCAGAAAUCCCCAUCACAGUCUUAAUAGCCCUGCUGGCACGUUGGCCCCCAUGGUAGAACAUAUGCUUUAAAGUUAACCUGUUUUGAAACAUAAACAGAUUUUUCGCUUCACACAUACUGCAACUGGACAAAAAGGCUAUUUUCGAUCACAAGCUCCUAGGACAGAGAAGCUGAGCCAGUUCCAGCACCCAGAAGGAAGCUCCCCCACUGCCAUACCAAGCUCCUAGGGCAGACAAGGCGAGCUGCGUGGGUAUCAGAAGCACCCCCACACCCCCGUGGAAAUGAGAAGACACAUAAACAAGCCUCAAAAACAGACUUCCAGAUCACCUACAGCAACCCCAAAGGGAAAUGAGAUGGAACACUCUGAUACUCAACCACCUGGACUCUCUGAACUGGCAACAAAAGAGGAUCUGGGAAAAAUGAAAUCAGAAAUAAUUACUCAGGUAACAGCAAAGAUUUUGCUCAUGGUGCAAGGGAUGAUUAAUAAAUCUAGAGAGGACACAGAUAAAAAAAUAGAGGAUCUGAGGAACAUGAUGGAAUCCCAACAUAGGAAACAAAUGGAAUCCAUAAAACAGAUACAAACAGAUUUCCAAGAGAUUGAAAACUCCAUCGAAAGUCUGUGCAGCAGAAUGAACCAAUGUGAGGAUAGAAUUUCACAUAUAGAAGAUAAGAUUGCAAUUAGUUAGGAGGAAAAGAAAAAUUGCUUUAAAAUUAUAAGGGAACAUGAGAAAUCAAUCCAGCAGCUGCUAGACGAUACAAAGAGGAAUAAUAUAAGACUGAUUGGAGUCAAUGAAGAAAGAGGAGAGAGUGCAGAUGACAUAAAAAAAACUGUUCACAGAAGUGAUGGCAGAAAACUUCCCAACCAGGAGAAAAGAACUUGACAUACAGAUAAGUGAGGCAUAUAGGACUCCAAAUAGCCUUGAUCAAAAAAAAAUCUACACAUAGGCAUAUAAUAGUUAGGAUUCCAGAAAUCCAACAGAAGAACAAAAUUCUACAAGCAGUGAGAGAAAAGAAACAAAUCACAUACAAAGGAAAGCCCAUCAGAAUCACAGCAGACUUCUCAAUGCAAACCCUCAAGGCAAGAAGAGCUUGGAGUGAUGUAUUUGAAGCCCUAAAGGAAAACAGCCUCCAACCCAGAUUGAUGUACCCUGCAAAACUAUCUUCCAAAAUUGAUGAAGAAAUAAGAUACUUUCAUGAUAAAGAGCACCUCAGGAACUUCAUGAAUACCAACCUGGCACCCCAAAAAAUUUUAGACAAUACCUUAGGAAAAGACAAUGAGGAUCACAACCCCAGGAAACCCAGCAGAAUGAAUCUAUUGGGC
Long non-coding RNA from Heterocephalus glaber (naked mole-rat), 2236 nucleotides. The record is from Ensembl. NCBI's taxonomy places the organism in Eukaryota, Metazoa, Chordata, Mammalia, Rodentia, Bathyergidae.